This 1362-nucleotide ribosomal RNA is filed under the name Streptomyces sp. RNAcentral describes it as "bacterial SSU rRNA". It matches the Rfam family "Bacterial small subunit ribosomal RNA", at positions 79 to 1451 of the family's 1533-position model. The record is from RNAcentral. Lineage: Bacteria; Bacillati; Actinomycetota; Actinomycetes; Kitasatosporales; Streptomycetaceae.
AGUCGGUGGGGAUUGUUGAUCCAACGGGUGAGUAACACGUGGGCCCUCUGCCCUGCCCUCUGGGACCAGCCCGGGAUACGGGGUCUAAUACCGGAUACUGAUCCUCGCAGGCCUCUGCGAGGUUCGAAAGCUCCGUCGGUGCAGGAUGAGCCCGCGGCCUAUCAGCUAGUUGGUGAGGUAACUGCUCACCUCGGCGACUACGGGUAUCCGGCCUGACAGGGUGACCCGCCCCACUGGCUCUGAGACUCGGCCCUUACUCCUACGGGACGCCUAGUGGGGAAUAUUGCACUUUGGGCUAAAGCCUGAUGCAACGACGCCGCGUGAGGGAUGACGGCCUUCGGGUUGCAAACCUCUUUCAAUAUGAAAGAAGCAAAAUUGACGUCACCUGCAGAAGAAGCGCCGGCCCCUAUGUGCAAUGCCCGCGGUAAUACGUAGGGCGCAAGCGUUGUCCGGAAUUAUUGGGCGUAAAGAUCUCAAACGCGGAUUGUCACGGCGGUUGUGAAAGCCCGGGGCUUAUCCCCGGGUCUGCAGUCGAUACGGGUAGGCUAGAGUUCGGUAGGGGAGAUCGAAAUUCCUGGUGUAGCGGUGAAAUGCGCAUAUAUCAAGAGGAACACCGGUGGCGAAGGCGGAUCUCUGGGCCGAUACUGACGCUGAGGAGCAAAAGCGUGGGGAGCGAUCUGGAUUAGAUACCCUGCUAUCACGUCGUAAAUCGGUGGGGUACUAGGUGUGGCCACCAUUCCCACGUUGUUCGCGCCGCAGCUAACCCAUAAAAUUCCCCCGCCUGGGGAGUACGGCCGCAAGGCUAAAACUCAAAAAAAUAAUCGAGGGACCGCACAAGCCGCGGACGCAUGGGGCUUACUUCGACGUAACUUGAAGAACCUUACCAGGGCUUGACUUACACUGGAAAACCCUGGAGACAUGGUCCCCCUGUGCUCGGUGUACAGGUGCUGCAUGGAUGUGCUCAGUUCCUGUCGUGAGAUAUUGUGUUAAGUCGGGCAAAGAGCACAUCCCUUGUCAAUCGUCGCCAUCAGUCCCCAAAAAAUAAAGGAAUCACUGGAAAAAGCGGGGGUCUGGUCGGAGGGAGGAAGGGGGGAGCUAAAGUAAUCAAUCACUAACUGUCUUGGGCUGCACCCGUGCUUCAAUCGUCGUUACAAAGAACUGGGAUCCCGCGAGUUUGGGCGAAUGCAAAAAAGCCGAUCUCAAUUUGGAUUGGGGUUUGCAACUCGGCCCCAUGAAGUCGGAAACGCUAGUUAUUCCAGAUCGACAAUGGUGCGGUGAAUACGUUCCCGGCCUUGACACACCACCUUCACGUCACGAAAGUCGGAACACCCGAAGAAGGUGGUAGAGUCCAUCGUGGACGGA